CAUGCAGGCGGCCUGAUAAGAUAGAUGUGAAAGCUCCCGGCUCAACUGGGAGAGGUCAUUUAUGACUGUCAGGCUUGAGUUUGGUAGAGGAGAGCAGAAUUCCCGGUGUAGUGGUGGAAUGCGUAGAGAUCGGGAGGAAUACCAGUGGCGAAGGCGGCUCUCUGGGCCACAACUGACGCUCAGAUGCGAAAGCGUGGGGAGCGAACG
This 207-nucleotide ribosomal RNA is filed under the name uncultured bacterium. RNAcentral describes it as "partial 16S ribosomal RNA". It matches the Rfam family "Bacterial small subunit ribosomal RNA", at positions 568 to 774 of the family's 1533-position model. The record is from RNAcentral.